Vespa crabro (European hornet) is the source of this 3286-nucleotide long non-coding RNA. RefSeq lists it as uncharacterized. The record is from RefSeq and is a predicted model, not a curated record. The transcript has 3 exons. NCBI's taxonomy places the organism in Eukaryota, Metazoa, Arthropoda, Insecta, Hymenoptera, Vespidae.
AUAUAAAAAAGACAAAAAAAAGAUUAGACGGCUAUAUCAAGAUUAAAAAGAUCGUAGGUUUCAAUUCGAUUUAUCAAUGUGUCAGUUCGUUUUGUAGGUAAUACAAUGAUUAUUGCCCGAUGAACUCGAAACGUCAUAAUAAUAGAAUAUAUAAUAGCUUUGGCUACAUGUUUAUAUAUUUAUAUUAUUAUUCUACGGUGAUGUAAGAGAUCAUUUCGAGGAUAUAACGAUGAUAAUAGAUUCGAAUCUGUAAAUAUAAAAACAUGGAUACCGUCGAAUUCGUACGUAUCGAGAAUGGGAAUACGUGCACGGAUGUAUGAUAGUAGUUUACAAUAAAACGAUCGUAUUUGUUUGUUUCUUUUUUUCUUUCCUUUUUUUUUUUUUUUCUUUUCUUUAAUUCAGGAUCGAAACGAUAAUCGUUCUAAUAAUAUCAAUAUUGCGUACAGGAAAGAUCAGUAAAUUUAUCGAUUAUCAAUACGUUCUUUAUUCCUCGAAUAAAGUGGAAAAGGAGGAGGAGGAAGAAGAUGAAGAAAAAAAAGAGAGAAGAAAAAAAAAGAAGAAGAAAAAAAGAAAUCAUCGACUCGUAAUAGUUUUCUUUGGAUUACCUUGGGGAAAAGACAGAGAGACAUGGUGGGGAAGAGAGGCCUUGUCAUACAUGGAACAAAUCGAUUUUCUUCAAGGUAAUUUUCUAACUAGCGUGCGUAUCUCUCAAUGUUCCUUCCUCUUAAACUAUCGCAUAAUAGUCUAUAUAGUACAUACAUAUGUACACGUGCGUUCCGAACGAACGAGAUCCCGUGCAUGGCGAUGACGAUCGAACGUUAACGUCCACUUCGUCGGAAAAGGCCAUAACUGCGCCGCUUAGGAAUCAGGAACGAGGAAACGUUUUGCGAUUCCUACAGAUGGUUGACCUCCUUCGGUAACCUCGGCCGUUCGUCACGCGAGAACACGCAUUCGAGAGGAUCGCGAAUUGUAUCGAUCGUUUGCCUUCCCCAUUCGAGAUUUUACAGAUAAAGAACAAGCUAAGCUUCCUAUCUCCGUACAUAGCUAUAUACGAUCUUUCAUAUACCUAAGUGCGCGCGAGAGCGUACAUAUUACAUACGUGCGUGCGUGCGUGCGUGCGUGCGUACGUGCACAAGCUCGCCUGUGUAUGAGACCGUGUCGAAUCUUAAUUGUAAAUUAAGAGAGACUUUGCAUAGACCGUAUUUCGUGCUACAUUUUACGAGCGGCGAUCCUUAAUACGCACAAACAUGUAAAUGCCAAAUCGUCUGCUGACGCUCUUUGAGGAACGUCUUUAUCAUUUUUUUUCCCAUCCUCCUCCUCUUUUUUUCAUGGUUUCUUUUUCUCUUUUCUUUUUUCUUCUUUUUUCUUCUCUCUCUCUCUCUCUCUCUCUUUUUUUUCUUUUUUUUUUCUUUUUUUACGCAAGCAUUUUCAGUCCGCCGAAAACUUAAAACUCUUCUAAUUCUAAAAUAAACUCUCUCGGUUGUUUUGUAUUAUAUCCCCUCCCAUUAAAGAUCUUCCACAUCAUUAUCGAAUUUGGAAAGACGAAAGUAUCAAAGUUCGACAAAUAAUGUCCUUUAAAUGAAACUUCACGAUGGGAGAGAUAUCUCUCUCUCUCUCUCUCUCUCUCUCUCUCUCUCUCUCUCCCUCUCUGUCUAUCUCUAUGUCUCUCUUUUCUCUUUUAAUGAGAGAAUAUCAACACAGCGGUGACCGAUAAAGCUACACGGCGUGUUUGUCGCAAUACUCGGCGCGUUGCUUAAUAUUACGUAAUUAUCAGUGCUAUGUGAUCCAACGAGGCAAACUCUAUACCACACAGUUUGUCUAUACGCGCUUCUUGAGUAAGAACUAUCGCGGGCUUGUAACAUUUUGAAAUUCCUAUCUUCUUCCCGUCUUCCCUCCCAUCCCAUACCCUCUUCACUUCCCUUCAUUUAUCUACCUACCUACCUUACCUAUCCCCACUACACGAAGAAGUCACAAAUGACUUCUUUCUUAAACGUAUUUAUAUCCCUAUAUAUAUAUAUAUAUAUAUAUAUAUAUAUAUAUAAUGUACGUAUAUAUUUACGUUGUAGCUGUAGGAUUAUGGGAUCCCCAUGUCUAUAGGAAACAAAAAAAUGAAAGAGAAAAAUGUUAGACUUUCGAGAAGAGUCGAAAGAAGAAUGAAAGAGAGAGAGAGAGAGAGAGAGAGAGAGAGAGAAUUAUCUUUGAGUCUCAAUCUUUGAAUUUAAGAUUCAGAAUUUAAGGGAAAAAUAAUAAAAGUUAGACGAAGGCGAGAGGAAGCGAAUCAAGGAGAUACGAUGAGUGAAACGAUGAGAUACGAUUGGUAACAAAGAAAUAAUGUUGUUUAUAUUCUUACGGUAAGGUGACAAAUCAUGCGUAUCUACGAAACGUGUCUACGCUUCUUUUCUAAGGAUCUCGUUUUCUAUGCAAACAACGUCGUCGUCGUUGUCGUCGUCGUCGUCGUCAUCAUCGUUGUUGUCUUUCAGUACGUUUCGAAUUUUGGUGUCUCGAGGAUGACUCGGGACGAGCGGUCAAGGGUGAAACAAGUUAGAAUGGGAAGAAAAACGAAAGGAGAAAAAGAAGAUAGAUGAAGAAUAAAAAUUCAUCGAUCCUGAUAUAAUUUCAUGUAAUAUUAUGGAGACAUUCAACACGCCAUCGCGUACCGAUUGCAUAAUGAGCGGGAAACGAAAUCGGAGACCGGUUCGAAACGCCUGCGUCGCUCCGAUAACGGUAUCAAUGCUCUUGCUCUGUUACGUGAAUACUGACCGCAAUCGUAACGUACCACGACCAUCAAGGAACCGGCAUUGUGCACAUACCUUUACACACAGGAUAUAUACAUAUACAAGUAUUCUAACUAUACGUAUUUUACCGUACGUCGUCCAAGUUCGACGUACUUGAAUCUCUAAUGACGAGGGGUAAAAAAAAAUUAAAACGAAAAAAAAAGGAAAAAAAAAAGAAAAAAAGAAAAGAAAUUCCUACGAAUAUUUUCUUUCUUUUUUUGCUGUUCUUUUUUUCUUUUUCUUAAACAUCAUAUUAUAACGAAUUCAAUAUAGAGAAUAUUAAUAAAGAAUAUUAAUCGUUGUUGAAUCUCUGUUAAUGGUGGAAUCAUGAUAUCUAUAUGACAAUGAAAUUCAAUGGAAAUUUUUCUUCUUUUUUCUUGUUUUUUUUUUUCCGAUUUUUUUUUUUUCUAUUGAUAGUCAAUGAUCUAUCUCGAACGUCGAUUUAUUAUUAGAUAAUUUUCAAUAAUUCUCAUAAUGAAUGGUAUUAGAGAGAGAGAGAGAGAGAGAGAGAG